GACGAACGCUGGCGGCGUGCUUAACACAUGCAAGUCGAACGGAAAGGCCCUGCUUUUGUGGGGUGCUCGAGUGGCGAACGGGUGAGUAACACGUGAGUAACCUGCCCUUGACUUUGGGAUAACUUUAGGAAACUGGGGCUAAUACCGGAUAGGAGCUCCUGCUGCAUGGUGGGGGUUGGAAAGUUUCGGCGGUUGGGGAUGGACUCGCGGCUUAUUAGCUUGUUGGUGGGGUAGUGGCUUACCAAGGCUUUGACGGGUAGCCGGCCUGAGAGGGUGACCGGCCACAUUGGGACUGAAAUACGGCCCAGACUCCUACGGGAGACAGCAGUGGGGAAUAUUGCACAAUGGGCGGAAGCCUGAUGCAGCAACGCCGCGUGCGGGAUGACGGCCUUCGGGUUGUAAACCGCUUUCGCCUGUGACGAAGCGUGAGUGACGGUAAUGGGUAAAGAAGCACCGGCUAACUACGUG
RNAcentral lists this ribosomal RNA (468 nucleotides) under uncultured bacterium. RNAcentral describes it as "partial 16S ribosomal RNA". It matches the Rfam family "Bacterial small subunit ribosomal RNA", at positions 28 to 507 of the family's 1533-position model. The record is from RNAcentral.